Molecule: ribosomal RNA, 249 nt
Filed under: Triticum aestivum (bread wheat)
Lineage: Eukaryota; Viridiplantae; Streptophyta; Magnoliopsida; Poales; Poaceae
Description: partial small subunit ribosomal RNA
Source: RNAcentral
AUGUAUAUUUCUUGUUCCCUCUACGAUUGGUGGCGAUCCGCGUCAGACUCCGUGCCGCACUCUCUCCGGAAGGCACUUGCCUCGAUCGUCCCAAUCAUCACGUGGGAGAUUUGGAAGCACCGAAGUGCAUGCAUCUUCGAUCAACGUCAACCCUCCAUCAACAUCCUGCUAGCUACCAUCCAAGAUGAUGUGCGCGCCUGGGCCACGGCCGGUGCCAAAGGGCUGCAAGCACUACUCGAUGUAACAUAA